AUACGGAAGGUCCGGGCGUUAUCCGGAUUUAUUGGGUUUAAAGGGAGCGCAGGCGGAGAUGCAAGCGUGACGUCAAAUUUCGGGGCUCAACCCCGUCUCGCGUCGCGAACUGCGUCCCUUGGUUGCGGGAAGGGGAGGCGGAACUCGCGGUGGAGCGGUGAAAUGCAUAGAUAUCACGAAGAACUCCGAUCGCGAAGGCAGCCUUCCGGCCCGUCAACGACGCUCAUGCUCGAAGGUGCGGGUAUCAAACAGGAUUAGAUACCCUGGUAGUCCGCACAGUAAACGAUGGACACCCGCGGUUUGGCCUAUAUGGCUGAGCCGCCAAGCGAAAGCGUUAAGUGUCCCACCUGGGGAGUACGCCGGCAACGGUGAAACUCAAAUGAAUUGACGGGG
This 393-nucleotide ribosomal RNA is filed under the name uncultured bacterium. RNAcentral's name for it is "partial 16S ribosomal RNA". It matches the Rfam family "Bacterial small subunit ribosomal RNA", at positions 523 to 918 of the family's 1533-position model. The record is from RNAcentral.